This is a long non-coding RNA of Myotis brandtii (Brandt's bat), 100 nucleotides long. RefSeq lists it as uncharacterized. The record is from RefSeq and is a predicted model, not a curated record. The transcript has 3 exons. NCBI's taxonomy places the organism in Eukaryota, Metazoa, Chordata, Mammalia, Chiroptera, Vespertilionidae.
GUCAGCCAUGUCUAUCCAUGAAAACAUUCGUAAGUUUAGUUCUUCUAGUUUCAUGCUGUCUGAGGCUGAAACCAAAACACUGAAUUUUGAUGUCUUUUCC